UGGGGAAUAUUGCGCAAUGGCCGAAAGGCUGACGCAGCGACGCCGCGUGGGGGAUGAAGCAUUUCGGUGUGUAAACCCCUGUUGCCCGGGACGAACAAGCAGAUUUUUCUGCUCUGACGGUACCGGGUGAGGAAGCACCGGCUAACUCCGUGCCAGCAGCCGCGGUAAUACGGAGGGUGCGAGCGUUGUCCGGAAUCACUGGGCGUAAAGGGCGCGUAGGCGGUCUGCUAAGCGUGCGGUGAAAGCCCGGGGCUCAACCCCGGGUCUGCCGUGCGAACUGGUGGACUAGAGCACUGUAGAGGCAGGUGGAAUUCCGGGUGUAGCGGUGGAAUGCGUAGAGAUCCGGAGGAACACCGGUGGCGAAGGCGGCCCGCUGGGCAGUAGCUGACGCUGAGGCGCGACAGCGUGGGGAGCAAACA
This 419-nucleotide ribosomal RNA is filed under the name uncultured bacterium. RNAcentral describes it as "bacterial SSU rRNA". It matches the Rfam family "Bacterial small subunit ribosomal RNA", at positions 355 to 774 of the family's 1533-position model. The record is from RNAcentral.